GGGCAGGUGGCAGAGCGGUUUAAGCGCCGGUCUUGAAAACCGACGAGGGUAAAACCUCCGUGAGUUCGAAUCUCACCCUGCCCGCCA
RNAcentral lists this transfer RNA (87 nucleotides) under Helicobacteraceae bacterium. RNAcentral's name for it is "tRNA-Ser". It matches the Rfam family "tRNA". From Rfam's summary of the family: Transfer RNA (tRNA) molecules are approximately 80 nucleotides in length. Their secondary structure includes four short double-helical elements and three loops (D, anti-codon, and T loops). Lineage: Bacteria; Pseudomonadati; Campylobacterota; Epsilonproteobacteria; Campylobacterales; Helicobacteraceae. The record is from RNAcentral.